AUAACUUCUCCCAAGCAGUAUCACCAGCUGGGAACCAAGAAUUCAAAUACCUGGUGAACAGGCUCUGGUGGGCAGAGUGUGGAAAGGCAACGGCAUGUCAUUCAAGAUCCUGCAGGCAGCUGCAGUCUUCCUUCCUACCGUUCCCUUCACCUUCUCAGUUGGUUUUUUACUUCUGUUGCUGUUUGGUGGUGCUGAGAACCAAACCCAGGACCUUGUGCAUGCUAGGCAAGUCCUCUGCCACUGAGCUGCAUGGUUUGCUGGUUUGGAUGAAGUCAGCUGCUGUGUUGAAGGGCCCCAUAUGCGAAGGAACUAAAGGCAGCCAGUUUCUGGACAGCAGCCACAUGAACAGGAUGCUAUCAGCCAACAGCCCACAAGGAACUGAACUAUGAGUGAUGUGAGGAGACAGCUGCAUGUCUGAGGAUGACCUCCUAGUUCACAGCCUGUGAGAAACCCUCCAGCAGAGGGCCUGGUUGGACCUCCCCAGGUUCCAGCUCACUGGGAGGUAGUUUGCCAGACAAAGAUAAUGUAUCUCCCAUGGCACACUUAUCACUAAAUAAAGUCCUUUGUGGAUAGCA
This is a non-coding RNA of Peromyscus maniculatus bairdii (prairie deer mouse), 575 nucleotides long. Lineage: Eukaryota; Metazoa; Chordata; Mammalia; Rodentia; Cricetidae. The record is from RefSeq and is a predicted model, not a curated record.